UGGGCAACCUGCCCUCAGCACUGGGAUAACCCCGGGAAACCGGGGCUAAUACCGGAUACGACCUCGGCGGGCAUCCGCUGAGGUGGAAAGUGUCAGUGGCUGAGGAUGGGCCCACGGCCUAUCAGCUUGUUGGUGGGGUAACGGCCUACCAAGGCGACGACGGGUAGCCGGCCUGAGAGGGCGACCGGCCACACUGGGACUGAGACACGGCCCAGACUCCUACGGGAGGCA
This 231-nucleotide ribosomal RNA is filed under the name uncultured bacterium. RNAcentral's name for it is "partial 16S ribosomal RNA". It matches the Rfam family "Bacterial small subunit ribosomal RNA", at positions 118 to 350 of the family's 1533-position model. The record is from RNAcentral.